GCAGUCGUGGCCGAGUGGUUAAAACUAGAAAUCCAUUGGGGUCUCCCCGCACAGGUUCGAAUCCUGUCGACUGCG
Molecule: transfer RNA, 75 nt
Filed under: Ixodes scapularis (black-legged tick)
Lineage: Eukaryota; Metazoa; Arthropoda; Arachnida; Ixodida; Ixodidae
Rfam family: tRNA
About the family: Transfer RNA (tRNA) molecules are approximately 80 nucleotides in length. Their secondary structure includes four short double-helical elements and three loops (D, anti-codon, and T loops).
Source: Rfam by way of RNAcentral